Molecule: small RNA, 292 nt
Filed under: Arabidopsis thaliana (thale cress)
Lineage: Eukaryota; Viridiplantae; Streptophyta; Magnoliopsida; Brassicales; Brassicaceae
Description: ATSL074430
Source: RNAcentral
GAGAUUUUACUUCGUUUUUUUUGCUUUGCAUUGGACCUCGACAAAGCAAUCGUGGAACUGGAGACGGAGUAAGACAGCAGCCUUCCCUGGGUCGUUGGUCACCGCCUGUUGAACAACAUCACGAACGAUUGACUCUGCUGAUGGACAUGUUUCCGAGUAGAAUCCAAACUGAAGUUGUGCCGCUGAAUAACCUAAUUGAUCAUGAAAAUAUAACAAAACUAGAAAUAAUGCAAUAGUGAUCAUUUUGGGAUCAAACAAACGAAUUGAUAUAUCUUCUCGUAUUCUACGGCUC